GAUGAACGCUGGCGGCGUGCCUAAUACAUGCAAGUCGAGCGAAUGGAUUGAGAGCCUGCUCUUAUGAAGUUAGCGGCGGACGGGUGAGUAACACGUGGGUAACCUGCCCAUAAGACUGGGAUAACUCCGGGAAACCGGGGCUAAUACCGGAUAACAUUUUGAACCGCAUGGUUCGAAAUUGAAAGGCGGCUUCGGCUGUCACUUAUGGAUGGACCCGCGUCGCAUUAGCUAGUUGGUGAGGUAACGGCUCACCAAGGCAACGAUGCGUAGCCGACCUGGGAGGGUGAUCGGCCACACUGGGACUGAGACACGGCCCAGACUCCUACGGGAGGCAGCAGUAGGGAAUCUUCCGCAAUGGACGAAAGUCUGACGGAGCAACGCCGCGUGAGUGAUGAAGGCUUUCGGGUCGUAAAACUCUGUUGUUAGGGAAGAACAAGUGCUAGUUGAAUAAGCUGGCACCUUGACGGUACCUAACCAGAGAGCCACGGCUAACUACGUGCCAGCCGCCGCAGUAA
RNAcentral lists this ribosomal RNA (515 nucleotides) under uncultured bacterium. RNAcentral's name for it is "partial 16S ribosomal RNA". It matches the Rfam family "Bacterial small subunit ribosomal RNA", at positions 28 to 523 of the family's 1533-position model. The record is from RNAcentral.